Ictidomys tridecemlineatus (thirteen-lined ground squirrel) is the source of this 441-nucleotide non-coding RNA. The record is from the annotation of a RefSeq genome assembly. Lineage: Eukaryota; Metazoa; Chordata; Mammalia; Rodentia; Sciuridae.
CAGAAGGCACAACUCAGGAUGACUUUCAUCAUGGCUUGGUCCUGUCUGCUCUUCACAUUCCUCAUUCAGUGCACAGGGUCCUGGGCCCAGUCUGUGCUGACUCAGCCGCCCUCAGUAUCUGGGACUCCAGGAGCGACAGUCACCAUCUCCUGCAAAGGAAGCAGCAACAAUAUUGGCAGUAAUUAUGUGCACUGGUACCAACAGCUCCAAGAAAAGGCUCCCCAACUCCUCAUCUAUGAUAAUAGUGAUCGACCCUCUGGGGUCCCAGAUCGCUUCUCUGGCUCCAAGUCUGGUAAUUCUGCUUCACUGACCAUCACUGGGCUUCAGCCAGAUGAUGAGGCUAUCUAUCACUGUCAGUCUUAUGAUGACAGCCUCAGUGCUCGCACAGUGCUCCAGGCUUAUGGGGAAGUAAGACAAGAACCCCAUUACCAUAUGUCAUGA